Molecule: ribosomal RNA, 1504 nt
Filed under: metagenome
Description: bacterial LSU rRNA
Rfam family: Bacterial large subunit ribosomal RNA
Source: RNAcentral
CUAGAUCAGAAGCGAGAAUGUUGACAUGAGUAGCGACAAACAGGGUGAGAGACCCUGUCGCCGUAAGUCCAAGGGUUCCUGCUUAAAGCUAAUCUGAGCAGGGUAAGCCGGCCCCUAAGGCGAGGCCGAAAGGCGUAGUCGAUGGGAACCAGGUUAAUAUUCCUGGGCCAGAAGGAUGUGACGGAUCUCAAAGGUAGUUUGCCCUUAUCGGAUUGGGUGGGCUGCUCAGAGGUUCCUGGAAAUAGCCCUUCAUGAGACCGUACCCUAAACCGACACAGGUGGACUGGUAGAGUAUACCAAGGCGCUUGAGAGAACCACAUCAGAGGAACUCGGCAAAAUGCCUCCGUAAGAUCGCGAGAAGGAGGCCCUGUUCUUACGCAAGUAGGGGCAGGGGGCACAAACUAGGGGGUGGCGACUGUUUACUUAAAACACAGGGCUCUGCGAAGUCGUAAGACGACGUAUAGGGUCUGACGCCUGCCCGGUGCUGGAAGAUUAAGAGGAGGGGUGCAAGCUCUGAAUUGAAGUCCCAGUAAACGGCGGCCGUAACAAUAACGGUCCUAAGGUAGCGAAAUUCCUUGUCGGGUAAGUUCCGACCUGCACGAAUGGCGUAACGAUCUCCCCGCUGUCUCUGAUGUGGACUCAGCGAAAUUGAACUGUGUGUCAAGAUGCACACUUCCCGCGGUUAGACGGAAAGACCCCAUGCACCUUUACUCCAGCUUCGCACUGGUAUCAGGAUUGUGAUGUGCAGGAUAGGUGGUAGGCAUCGAAGCGGGGACGCUAGUCCUCGUGGAGCCUCCCUUGAGAUACCACCCUUCGCCAUCUUGAUAUCUAACCGCGGUCCGUUAUCCGGAUCCGGGACCCUGCGUGGUGGGGAGUUUGACUGGGGCGGUCGCCUCCCAAAUCGUAACGGAGGCGCGCGAAGGUAGGCUCAGACCGGUCGGAAAUCGGUCGUUGAGUGCAAUGGCAGAAGCCUGCCUGACUGCAAGACUGACAAGUCGAGCAGAGACGAAAGUCGGUCAUAGUGAUCCGGUGGUCCCAAGUGGGAGGGCCAUCGCUCAACGGAUAAAAGGUACGCUGGGGAUAACAGGCUGAUGAUGCCCAAGAGUCCAUAUCGACGGCAUCGUUUGGCACCUCGAUGUCGGCUCAUCUCAUCCUGGGGCUGGAGCAGGUCCCAAGGGUAUGGCUGUUCGCCAUUUAAAGAGGUACGUGAGCUGGGUUUAGAACGUCGUGAGACAGUUCGGUCCCUAUCUGCCGUGGGUGUAGGAGACUUGAGAAGAGUUGCCCCUAGUACGAGAGGACCGGGGUGAACGAACCACUGGUGGACCAGUUAUCGUGCCAACGGUAGUGCUGGGUAGCUAUGUUCGGACAGGAUAACCGCUGAAGGCAUCUAAGCGGGAAGCCCCCUUCAAAACAAGGUCUCCCUGAGGGCCGUGGAAGACCACCACGUCGAUAGGCCAGAGGUGUAAGAGCAGUAAUGCUUUCAGCUGACUGGUACUAAUUGCCC